RNAcentral lists this non-coding RNA (24 nucleotides) under Arabidopsis thaliana (thale cress). Lineage: Eukaryota; Viridiplantae; Streptophyta; Magnoliopsida; Brassicales; Brassicaceae. The record is from RNAcentral.
AGGCCGAGCUUGAUCUCUUCUUCU